Molecule: long non-coding RNA, 913 nt
Organism: Salvia miltiorrhiza (redroot sage)
Lineage: Eukaryota; Viridiplantae; Streptophyta; Magnoliopsida; Lamiales; Lamiaceae
Exons: 2
Source: RefSeq, a predicted model, not a curated record
UUUACUAUUUUUAAAAAAUGCAAAACCAAAUCUGCACAUUUCUACCGGGAAUUUCAGAGAACAGGGGACAAAGUCAUUCAUUUCAGUAGCUUCCUGUGUGAUCUAGCUUUCCCAAUUUUUAUGGUAUCAACCUUACUGUAUGGUCUAGAUAUCCACCAAAUUUGAGCUCAGUUUGACAACGUUUACUAUUUUUCAAAAAUCAAUGUUUCCGAUUGCUCAAAACUGCCGAAUAUGGUAGACCGUGGUAAAAACGCCAUAUCUCCCAAACCACUUGGAGUUUCUGACUCUACGUUUUUUUGAAUGAAACUAGACUCAAAUACCUUUCUUUUGGUAUGAGUCUGGAGUCCAGAAGAUGUCGGAGUCAAAACGUGUUAAAUUUUGAAGUUGAGUCAGUGGGAAAACAGAACAUGAUUUGUUGAUGUUUGAUUGUAUUUUCUUAUGUGCCUUAUGUGUUUAUGUUGCUUAAGUGUUUUAAUGAGAUUAGACGAGUCUUAUAUGAGAGAUAAAUCGAGACUUAGAACCAUGAUUUUCUUGAAACCUAUCCUUGGACUUAAGGAUUUGAAAUGAGUGAAGAAGUUUAUGUAGAGUCGAUCAAGAGAUAGAAUAUAAGAUAGAGCAUGAGUUAAGGCAUGAGUUUUUGUCGUUGAGUUCUAAUCGAGAUUCAUUUUAUGACAUGAACCUUCGAUGAUGACGAUGAUCCCUGAAGACACGAGCAGAGCAAGGAAGUAAGUAACUCCGCUUUGACGGGAGUGUUUGAGUAAGGUCUUCAGGCUAAGCGAGGAGCGAGAUUGGUCUGGUGCUAGUGGGGGAAACGUUUCAAUCGAUGUAAUUAUGUUUUCGUAUUGCCUUCAUGUUAAUAGAGUCUUGAGGAUUGAGAUACUUUGUUUUCUUUUGAAAUCAAGCAAUUUACUCA